AUGAAAUUGUUACGACGCCUAAAAGCAUCGACGGACUCCUUUCAUGCAUCGCUAAAAUUCACACCUACCCCAAACCUCCGUUUAGUCGAAACCCUACCCUCUUUCGCUCUAACCCCCUCUUCGGAUUCCUCCCAUGUCCUGUGCCUCCGUUCCCGAUCGAAAACCGACUCUCCGCCUCAUUUAAAACCAGCCCUCUCCCUCCAUUUCUAGCCCCAAACUAAUCCCUCUUUUCCCCCACCUCCUCCUCUUCCGGCCUCAUCAUGGACGGACGGUCUCCCUCCUCCUCCGACCUCUCAUCGCCGACGGUCUCCCUCUUCCUCCGACUUCUAGUCGCUGACGAUCUCCCUCUUCCUCCGACUUCUAGUCGCUGACGAUCUCCCUCUUCCUCUGGCCUCUCUAGCUCCUCCACCUCGCUCAUCCUCCUCCGAUCUCUCGUCGCCGUCGCCGUCGCCGUCGCCAUCAUCGUAGCUGUCCCUGAUGAGAUCCAGCAGGAGAUCACCAUCAACGACGUCGAGAGUCCGUCGACUAAGCUUCGCUAGGGCUCGUGUACAGUAGAGCCGACUGGGGAGCCUCUCCAACCGUUGUCGAAACCUCAGCGUCCUAUAGAUCCUGUAAAUUUUUGGUUGCUCAGAGAUGAGCAAAUCAUAUCAUUCGAUCCAAUCCAAGGAUUAAGCAAUGAUGGUUGAUCGAGUUAUUCUCUAAAUGGCUUUUUAAACAGAUGAUAUCAUGCCUCGACACAGACGACAGUUGAAGUGGUCCCAGCAGUUUAAGGCCGGUCGUUCGUCAUUCCCACAGCAAUCCCAUGCCGGUCCUUCAUCAUUCCUGCAGUAGUCCCAUGCCGAUCCGUCACAACCUGUCGACAACCGUCAACAAGUCAUUCGGUACAAUCGGAUGGGGCAGCCCAUCAACAAGUCGACUAGAUUGUUGAUGAGCUUCUCAAGUACUAUUGCACAGUAAAUUUGUACUCCCUCCAGACAGCCAUGAAUAGGUGUUGAAGUCCCUUAAUCGAAAAUGGAAAGAAUUUAAGGCAACACUAAAGAGGGACUAUAAGAGAGAGGGCUUGGCAGAGAACGAUGUUACUCAUAUUUGUCCUCUUGAUGUUGAUCCUCAUUGGUGGAGGGAGCUUGUCCAUUAUUGAUUCUCUGAGAGAGGACAAGCAUAUUCUGCUAUUGGUAGGGCUGCACGAGCAGCUCAAUCUGCUCCUCAUACAUCAGGUUCCAAAAGCUAUGCACGACGCAAACAAGAAUAUAUAGAUGAGCAUGGUCGGGAGCCGGAUCAGGUGGAGUUUUAUACGAUGACUUAUGUUCAUCGAGAUGGCCGUUUUAUUACUGACGAGUCGCGAGAUAUAUUUGAGAGAGUUUUAUCUCUUAUUGCAGAGCGUGUCGGUGAAUCCUUAGCAUUUAUGGAGGCCAGUCGUGUCGAGGCUCAGAUGAUGACAAAGCUACUGGGACUGGAUUGGUACGGUCGAGUGAGAGGUUAUAGAGUUGGAGUCAUCCCCACUCGGUUAUCUAAUAUACGCUGAUGCACUCAGGAUGCUAGAGAGAGCUCUAGCAAUGUUGAUAUAUCUAUGCCCGAGGCUCGAAUGAAGGCACGGAUCAAGAAGCAGAUAGAGGCGCGGGUGCAGGCGCAAGUGCAGGUAGAGGCGUGGGUGCAGGCGCAAAUGGGGAUGAUAAAACAAAAUUAUGACACUGUAAUAUCCAGCUUGAAGACUCAGAUUGAUCAGUUGGCAUCCACAUUACACACAUUUGUAGACUCUUCUAGGAUAAAUAUCUUAUUAUAUUUAUAUUUGUUUAUUAACUUAAUAAUUUAAUUUAUAUUAUUAUUUUCGUAUUCUCAACACUGAAGUUUUUAUAUAUUUGUUGUAGACUCCUGAUAGUUCCAACAGUCAUGGAGUUGAUGAUAGUCAUGCUUCUAUGGAUGACUGAUAGCCCAAUGCCUCUAUCUUUCUUUUGAGUUUUGUAAUUCAUGAACAUGACGGACAGGUUUACGUAUUGAUAUGGAUUGUUAUUAUGACUUUAUAUUGCUGUUUGAAUUUUGUUAAGCUGGUAUUUUUUCAAAUAUAUUUAACUUAAAGCAAGGAUUGAAAUGCUCUUUAAAUGAACUAACCUGCAAUUCUCUUUUUGGAUCUAGUUUAUUAUGAAAAUGAUCGUGUGCUCCAUCAUGAUGAAAGUAUAUAUCGAUUUGAGUGUGUAAGUUUCAUGCCAUCUGUUGUUUUAUUAUUGAGACUUUGACUUCUUGUUUUCAUAAUGGUUGUCAAAAUACUGCAUCUAAAUCUAUGGUAGUAAGAUAUGGUGGGGUUUGCCUAGUAUUUUUGAAUGAGUUGGUAACGAGUUGUGCUUGGGAAGUUUUGUUGUUGAUGAAGGCUUCAUGUUGUUUUAUGAUGGGAUUUUAUUUAGAUGCUUCAGAAACUCUUAUACAAAUGCUUGAUUUAGGGUUAUGGCCUGAAUACAUAGACAGGGCAGCUGUGUUGCAGGGACUUAGGAGGAGCAUACAGGAAUCUGGAAACAUUGAACCUUACAUCAAGCUGUGCAGGCGCCUAUCUGAUAUGGAUCUGACUGGACCCUGCCUUGUAUAUUUGUACAUAAGUAAAUAUAAGCUGUGGAUUAUAAAAAUGCUCUGAAGGCUUAGAUGAGAGUUUCUGCCAACUUGUUUGGUCGAUUGUUCUCUUACCAGCCAAGCUUUUCUUUAUGCAUUUUGCUGCAUUUGUAUAGUAAGAUGAAUGAGGACCGGAAGUUAAAGUGUUUUAAUAGGCACCAAACAUGGAUCAAGAUGAAAUAUGUCCAAAAAAAUGUCACCAUUGUCUAUACAGGCAUACAAAAGAUAUAUGUAAUCUCAGAUUUUUGUAAUUUUGCCUUCUAUGAUGUUGUAAAUCUUGUAUUUCAAAUGUGUGGGCUGUCUGAAAUAAUCCUCUGGAUGGCUUUAUUUAGUCUCCCUCAGGUUGAAGCUUGACUAUCGAGUGCAGGUUUGUGGAAAAUCAAUGGGGGAAGAAGUGCAGGAGUGAAGAAAUGCAUGAAGAAUAUCACCUGUAAAGUAAGGCAGGACAGGUGAUGAAUGGGAGUAUUCAUGUUCGGUUGUAUCAGGGAGAACUCCCUGAAAAAAUACAUGCUGAUACGUUAUACAUUACUAAAAUUAGUGUAUGUGUUUUUUUUUCCUAAAUUAGAUGAAUUGUAAGUGAGUUUAUAUUGAAUCUUGGGUUACCAGAUCAAAAUUUAAAUGUUCCCGAGGAAUUGCAUGAAAUGCCUGUUCGCAGCCCAAAAAGUUAGUUCUCCAGAACUGGUCGAGUAUUUCUCUUAGGCUAUAAAGCAGGCCACUUCAUGUAUGACCCUCAGGUAUCCUUUUUAAGAAUAUUUUGGGCAGUUAAUAUAUUUUUUAUUUGAUACAUUCAUCUCGAUUCAUCUCUGUUUUUGUAAAAGAUGCUAACAGGAGGUCAUCAAUAAAAUGCGUGUGCAUUCACCAAUCUUGAAUCAGAUUAAGAUCACAGCUUCUGGUCAUGCUCGUUUUGCAUUGCGUCGCACUUUUGAUAUAUGAUAUGUGAUGCCUCUAAUAGUAACUAACCUUGGUUCUUAGCCAGAGUAUAACAUGAGGCGGCGGCAGAAAACGAACACGCCAACAGCAGGUUGGGGUCCAUGCCUGGGACUGUUCUCGCUGGCAUUCCCUGUGCUGGUCUGAUGGCUCUGCGGUAUAUUAGAGCAGGUCACUUGAUUGACUUGUGCGGGCAUACCAAUCUAUUUAAAGCCACUUUGAGCAUCUAAUGCCUCCUCAUUAUUGCCUUGCGACGUUACCAUCAGCCGACUCUCCAGCCAGUGGACCAGAUGCAGGCUUCAAUACCGCAGUCAAUGGAAAGCAGUCAAUGCAAAGGCCUGUAACUAUUUCUCAUAACCAUGUAGAAAAUUGGCACUUGGCACUUCUCAUCUGCCUUAUUUUCUUGUCAUUUUUGUUGGCGGUCCCUCAAGAGGGAACUAAUAAAUAGGUGCGGAAAGAAUAACAUAAGACUAAGGAUGGUGGUACUAGAUUCCAAAAAAAACAUAUGCAACUUGAGAGAUUCCAAAGUGGUUCAUAUUGUUUCAACAUUUUUAAUAAAUUUUGAACAGGUAUAUAUAUUAUUAUA
Molecule: non-coding RNA, 4108 nt
Organism: Elaeis guineensis (African oil palm)
Lineage: Eukaryota; Viridiplantae; Streptophyta; Magnoliopsida; Arecales; Arecaceae
Source: RefSeq, a predicted model, not a curated record